Molecule: ribosomal RNA, 442 nt
Filed under: Chlamydomonas sp. KU-D-S-1-10-b4
Lineage: Eukaryota; Viridiplantae; Chlorophyta; Chlorophyceae; Chlamydomonadales; Chlamydomonadaceae
Description: SSU rRNA
Rfam family: Eukaryotic small subunit ribosomal RNA
Source: RNAcentral
CCAUGCAUGUCUAAGUAUAAGUUAUAAAAGGCGAAACUGCGAAUGGCUCAUUAAAACAGUUAUAGUUUAUUUGAUGAUGUUUUUAUAUGGAUAACCGUUGGGAAACCAGAGCUAAUACAUGCUUAAAGACCUUCGGGUCGUAUUUAUUAGUUUUCACCAAUGCCUUCGGGUUUUGAGAGGAGUCAUAAUAACUGAUCGGAUCGCACUUGUGUGCGAUAAAUCUUUCAAGUUUCUGCCCUAUCAGCUUGAUGGUAGUGUAUUGGACUACCAUGGCUUUCACGGGUAACGGAGAAUUAGGGUUCGAUUCCGGAGAGGGAGCCUGAGAAACGGCUACCACAUCUAUGGUAGGCAGCAGGCGCGUAAAUUACCCAAUCUUGGGUCAGGGAGGUAGUUAGGAGGAAUAUGAAGUCGGCCAUUCGGCUGAGUUUCAAAUGGAUUGAAU